This 491-nucleotide ribosomal RNA is filed under the name uncultured bacterium. RNAcentral describes it as "partial 16S ribosomal RNA". It matches the Rfam family "Bacterial small subunit ribosomal RNA", at positions 29 to 507 of the family's 1533-position model. The record is from RNAcentral.
AGUGAACGCUGGCGGUAGGCCUAACACAUGCAAGUCGAACGGCAGCACAGUAAGAGCUUGCUCUUACGGGUGGCGAGUGGCGGACGGGUGAGGAAUACAUCGGAAUCUACUUUUUCGUGGGGAUAACGUAGGGAAACUUACGCUAAUACCGCAUACGACCUACGGGUGAAAGCAGGGGAUCUUCGGACCUUGCGCGAUUGAAUGAGCCGAUGUCGGAUUAGCUAGUUGGCGGGGUAAAGGCCCACCAAGGCGACGAUCCGUAGCUGGUCUGAGAGGAUGAUCAGCCACACUGGAACUGAGACACGGUCCAGACCCCUACGGGAGGCAGCAGUGGGGAAUAUUGGACAAUGGGCGCAAGCCUGAUCCAGCCAUACCGCGUGGGUGAAGAAGGCCUUCGGGUUGUAAAGCCCUUUUGUUAGGAAAGAAAAGCAGCAGGUUAAUACCCCGCUGUUCUGACGGUACCCAAAGAAUAAGCACCGGCUAACUUCGUG